This 1230-nucleotide ribosomal RNA is filed under the name uncultured bacterium. RNAcentral's name for it is "partial 16S ribosomal RNA". It matches the Rfam family "Bacterial small subunit ribosomal RNA", at positions 223 to 1482 of the family's 1533-position model. The record is from RNAcentral.
GGAUGGGCAUGCGUACCAUUAGUUAGUUGGUAAGGUAACGGCUUACCAAGACGAUGAUGGUUAGGGGGCCUGAGAGGGUGAUCCCCCACACUGGUACUGAGAUACGGACCAGACUCCUACGGGAGGCAGCAGUAGGGAAUAUUGGUCAAUGGAGGAGACUCUGAACCAGCCAUGCCGCGUGAGUGAAGAAGGCCCUUGGGUUGUAAAGCUCUUUCGUCGGGGAAGAAAAUGACUGUACCCGAAUAAGAAGGUCCGGCUAACUUCGUGCCAGCAGCCGCGGUAAUACGAAGGGACCUAGCGUAGUUCGGAAUUACUGGGCUUAAAGAGUUCGUAGGUGGUUGAAAAAGUUGGUGGUGAAAUCCCAGAGCUUAACUCUGGAACUGCCAUCAAAACUUUUCAGCUAGAGUAUGAUAGAGGAAAGCAGAAUUUCUAGUGUAGAGGUGAAAUUCGUAGAUAUUAGAAAGAAUACCAAUUGCGAAGGCAGCUUUCUGGAUCAUUACUGACACUGAGGAACGAAAGCAUGGGUAGCGAAGAGGAUUAGAUACCCUCGUAGUCCAUGCCGUAAACGAUGUGUGUUAGACGUUGGAAAUUUAUUUUCAGUGUCGCAGCGAAAGCGAUAAACACACCGCCUGGGGAGUACGACCGCAAGGUUAAAACUCAAAUGAAUUGACGGGGACCCGCACAAGUAGUGGAGCAUGUGGUUUAAUUCGAAGAUACGCGCAGAACCUUACCAACACUUGACAUGUUCGUCGCGACUCUAAGAGAUUAGAGUUUUCGGUUCGGCCGGACGAAACACAGGUGCUGCAUGGCUGUCGUCAGCUCGUGUCGUGAGAUGUUGGGUUAAGUCCCGCAACGAGCGCAACCCUCACUUUUAGUUGCCAUCAUUAAGUUGGGCACUCUGAAAGAACUGCCAGUGAUAAGCUGGAGGAAGGUGGGGAUGACGUCAAGUCCUCAUGGCCCUUACGUGUUGGGCUACACACGUGCUACAAUGGUAUCUACAACAGGAAGCAAGACUGCGAAGUUAAGCAAAUCCCUAAAAGAUACCUCAGUUCGGAUUGCACUCUGCAACUCGAGUGCAUGAAGCUGGAAUUACUAGUAAUCGUGGAUCAGCGUGCCACGGUGAAUGCGUUCCCGGGUCUUGUACACACCGCCCGUCACACCAUGGGAGUUGGUUCUACCUUAAGGCAAGGUUUCAAACCCUUGACCACGGUAUAGUCAGCGACUGGGGUG